RNAcentral lists this ribosomal RNA (240 nucleotides) under uncultured bacterium. Its description in RNAcentral is "partial 16S ribosomal RNA". It matches the Rfam family "Bacterial small subunit ribosomal RNA", at positions 523 to 762 of the family's 1533-position model. The record is from RNAcentral.
AGACGAGGGGUCCAAGCGUUGUUCGGAAUUAUUGGGCGUAAAGCGGGUGUAGGUGGCUCUGUAAGUCAGAAGUGAAAUCCCCGAGCUUAACUUGGGAAGUGCUUUUGAAACUGCAGAGCUUGAAUGUGGGAGAGGAUCGUGGAAUUCCAGGUGUAGUGGUGAAAUACGUAGAUAUCUGGAGGAACACCGGUGGCGAAGGCGGCGAUCUGGCCCAACAUUGACACUGAGACCCGAAAGCGU